CAGCAGUCGCCACGGUAAUACAGAGGGUGCGAGCGUUAAUCGGAUUUACUGGGCGUAAAGCGUGCGUAGGCGGCUAAUUGAGUCGGAUGUGAAAUCCCCGAGCUUAACUUGGGAAUUGCAUUCGAUACUGGUUAGCUAGAGUGUGGGAGAGGAUGGUAGAAUUCCAGGUGUAGCGGUGAAAUGCGUAGAGAUCUGUAGGAAUACCGAUGGCGAAGGCAGCCAUCUGGCCUAACACUGACGCUGAGGUACGAAAGCAUGGGGAGCAAACAGGAUUAGAUACCCCCGUAGUCCCUGUCUCUUAUAC
This 304-nucleotide ribosomal RNA is filed under the name uncultured bacterium. RNAcentral describes it as "partial 16S ribosomal RNA". It matches the Rfam family "Bacterial small subunit ribosomal RNA", at positions 506 to 807 of the family's 1533-position model. The record is from RNAcentral.